CCACUUAUCAACACACAUAGGGGGUACUGCCUGCCCAGUGUAUCAUUAAACGGCCGCGGUAUCCUGACCGUGCAAAGGUAGCACAAUCAUUAGUCUCCUAAAUAGGGACCAGUAUCAACGGCAAGACGAGGGCCUGACUGUCUCUUCUCUUACACACCAAACUUCUCUAGUCGUGCAAAAGCGACCAUAACAGCGUAAGACGAGAAGACCCUAUCGAGCUUAAGGGGCGAAAGCACAAAACACGCCUAACUGCUGACACAUGUCACACAAUCCAUCCCUUUGUUCCCUCCUUAGCUCCUUUGGUUGGGGCAACCGCGGAGGAAAAACAUCCUCCGCAUUGACCUUAUUUAAGAUUCUAAUCAAAAUUAUACUAUUUAACAAACUAUGAUCCAGCUCCCCUGAUCAAUAAACUAAGUUACCGUAGGGAUAACAGCGUAAUCCCUUCCAAGAGCCCACAUUGCCGAAGGGGUUUGCGACCUCGAUGUUGGAUCGGGUCAUCCUGAUGGUGCAGCCGCUAUCAAGGGUUGGUCUGUUCGACCAUUAAAGACCUACGUGAUCUGAGUUCAGACCAGGA
RNAcentral lists this ribosomal RNA (574 nucleotides) under Protoglossus koehleri. Its description in RNAcentral is "partial 16S large subunit ribosomal RNA". It matches the Rfam family "Archaeal large subunit ribosomal RNA", at positions 1911 to 2690 of the family's 2987-position model. The record is from RNAcentral. Lineage: Eukaryota; Metazoa; Hemichordata; Enteropneusta; Harrimaniidae.